This is a non-coding RNA of Chiloscyllium plagiosum (whitespotted bambooshark), 1529 nucleotides long. Lineage: Eukaryota; Metazoa; Chordata; Chondrichthyes; Orectolobiformes; Hemiscylliidae. The record is from RefSeq and is a predicted model, not a curated record.
CUCAAUGGGAUCAUAGUUGAUCUAAAAAUUCUCAACUCCACUUUCCUGUCUUAUCCCUCAACCCUUGAUUUCCUUGAUGCAUGAAAAUUUGUUUCUCUCAGCGUUGAAUGUUCUUAUCGGCCCAACCUCUAUAGCUGUCUGUGGUAAAAGGUUACAUAGAUUUAUUAUCCUCUGAGAGAAGAAAUACCUCCCCAGCUCUCUUUUAAAUCAUCAACUCCAUACUCUGAGGUUAUGCCAUCUGAUUUGAGAACCUCCCACAAGGGGAAACAACCUUUUUAGCAUCUUCCUUGUCAAAUCCCUUAAGGAUCUUAGACAUUUCAAGAAGAUCACUUCAUACUGGACUUGAAGCAUUAAUUCUAUUUCUUUCUCCAUGUAUGCUGCCUGACCCUGGAAGCCUUCCAGACAAACUUUGUGAAGACAGUGAGACAGAUACUUGUCAGGAACCUCAGUCUCAGAAACUGGAUGCAGUGAUGCAAGUUAUUCAAAGACGUCACACCAAUAGUUAAGUUCUUCAUUCACGUUUGAAAGCUGAACAGAGGUACAAUAGUCAGGUGACUUCCAGGAUUGUUACAGAAAUAUUGAUACUUUCCAUGAACAUAGCUUCCACGUUUCAAGUAUUUAUCUAAGUUUAAACCUAGCCAGACUCUGCAAAUUAUAAAUAUCAGAGUCAGGUAUUGGAUGAUGAACUUCCCAUUGAAACCAGACAGGCUUGGAAAUGCCUGGCCAGGUGCUAAUAGCCACCUUGUUUCAGAAUGAGCCAUUGUUCACACCUCCAGUGAACCUGCUUUGGAAGAAGAAUGGUAUGCAGACUUGGUGGCACUCUGCUCAGUGAGAAGCUAGAGGCACAGUGUGACAAGGGCAGCACUAGUCAGUUGAAGGUUCAAAGACAUAUUCUGAGACCUCCAAAUAUAGAAAGUAGUCACCUUCGUGCCCCCACCCCACUGGUAUUGGACACAGACCAUAGAAACUUCGAAAAUGAUAUAAAAUGGAAUUUUAACGGGGCAACCUAGAGACCCAGCAUGCUCUGCUUUUCCACCAUCUUCAGUAAUGUCUCCGGAGACCACCUUAAACUGGCAGCUGAGCUACACAGUAUCUCCAGCUCCUUUUACCUCGUGGCGAGCACCUUCAGAUUGAGCAGACCCAGGAAGAUCACCUCAGUGAGAUGACCCAAAGAACCAGCCCUAGAUGAGAGAUGGGAAACCUAAAUUGAUGACUGCAGAUCCUGAAAUAUCAGUCAACUCUCAAAGAGUGAGGAACAGCCUGUUCCAGCCUUAUUGAAUGGGUAUCAUCUUUCAGACAAACUGUUCAAAUGCAGUGGAAGGGAUCUGUGGAUAGGGUGUGGGGAAACCUCAGAAGGGCAUGUCAUAAGGAGAUAGCCAGUGUAGAUUUACAAUUGUUUAUUUAGAGACUUAAAACUGUUUACUGAAGAGUCCUAUGAAGAGACUGAUAGAGUUCGACAGAGUUUAAUUAAAGCACAAUAGUAUAUUCUGAUAAAUUUUAUUUUUCCUUGAUGUGUUAAUAAAAUUGCG